Long non-coding RNA from Orcinus orca (killer whale), 4335 nucleotides. RefSeq lists it as uncharacterized. NCBI's taxonomy places the organism in Eukaryota, Metazoa, Chordata, Mammalia, Artiodactyla, Delphinidae. The transcript is spliced from 2 exons. The record is from RefSeq and is a predicted model, not a curated record.
GCAGACGCCGGCCGGGAUUGUGCCGGGAUCCGGAGCCCCCGGGUGCGCCGCAGGCUCCUUCCACUGCAUCCGGGAAACGGCCUCGCCCUCUCCGGCCCGUGACUGCCGGCUUCUGGGCUCCAGAACUGUGAAAGAAUACAUUUCUGUUGUUUUAAGCCACCCAGUUUAUGGGGAUUUGUUACAGCGGCCCUAGAAAACCAAUACACGAGGCCAUACGGAACACUGGUGAUUGAUGCUUUCUGAGAUGCUGUGGUUCACUGGCAAGAUACAACAAAUGACUUGCUGUCUGCACAACUUAGACAGUUUCUCAUCCCCUCUGAACCUCAGCUUCCUCAUUUGUGAAAUGGAGGUAACGGUACCUGCCUCACACCGCCAGGAAAUCCUGCUGAGAGGAUUUCUCUUUAGAGACUGGAUGCAGAGAGCCUGGCAUAGAAUAAGUGUUCAGUAAAUGUUACUUCUCCUAUUAAACUUUCAUCUCUCCUUUGGAGCUGAUUAUUAAUGACCUUGAGGGGAAACUCCCUCAUUCCUCAGAGCAUUCAUUCAGAAUUACUUUGACAAGAGCCUGGAAGUAGUAAGAGGCAACCACUAUGCAUGAUUUACUGUAAAUCAGAAUCAGUGGGUUCAAAAUGAAAGUCAUCAUCUUCCCCAGAAACUAGCCCCUCACUUCCCUGUUUUUGUUGCCUAGAUACAGAUAGCCCUGGCCCUUCCCAUGCCUGUGUCUAGCCCGUUAUCUAGUUCCUGUGUUUUCAAAACUUUUUUGAACGUGACCCAGGACACAUUGCUGAUGUACAUGUGAAACAAAAGCUUUAUUUAAAAAUACUUGUACCAACAAGGACCUACUGUAUAGCACAGGGAACUAUACUAAGUAUUUUGUAAUAACCUAUAAUGGAAAAGAAUCUGACAAAGAAUAUAUAUAUAUAUAUAUAUAUCACUUUGCUGUAUGCCUGAAACUAACACAGCAUGGUAAAUCAACUAUACGUCAAUUUAAAAAAAGAGAAAGGGGCUUCCCUGGUGGCGCAGUGGUUGAGAGUCCGCCUGCCAAUGCAGGGGACAUGGGUUCGUGCCCCGGUCCGGGAAGAUCCCACAUGCCGCAGAGCGGCUGGGCCCGUGAGCCAUGGCCGCUGAGCCUGCGUGUCCGGAGCCUGUGCUCCGCAAUGGGAGAGGCCACAGCAGUGAGAGGCCCGUGUACCGGAAAAAAAAAAAAAAAAAAAAGAGUGGGUGUGUGGGAAUUCCCUGGCGGUCUGGUGGUUAGGACUCGACGCUUCCACUGCAGGGGGAACAGGUUCGAUCCCUGGUCGGGAAACUAAGAUCCUGCAAGCCGAGCACUGCCAAAAAAAAAAAAAAAAGAAAAAAAAAGGUAGGUGUGGUUCUGUUUGGGACCUAAGUGGGAAAGAUUUUAUACCCUGAUAAAGAGUGGGAGGGGGUGUGGGAGGGGAAGCGGCCACCUCCCUUUUCUUCUUGGAACUCUGGUGGUGGGAGGAUGAAAUCAGAGGAGCAGCCAUCUCUCCGUGGACAGGCAAUGCUGGCGAGGGCUAGAAGAACAGGCCUUGAUAACAUUGUUUAGCUGCGGGACAAACCCUGGAAACCACCUACCUGCAGACUUAUGGUUCAGUGAGGGAAUAACUGACCUUGUUUAAGGCACUUUCGAUCAGUAUUCUGUUACUUGGAGCUGAUCACUUCCUGAUUAAGAUACCCACGCAGGAGAUGUUCUGGGCAUCUCUCCUCUGCGCCUUUGUGCCUGCUGGUCCCUUUCCCUAGGAUGCUCUCUCCCUAAAAUGAUCUGAAUUCUGCUCACCUUUUCAGGGCCAACAAGGGUACACUGAGAAGCCUUCCAUUAUCCUGAGCCAAAAGCAUCCUCUCCCUUCUCUCAAGCAUGUGACUCAUAUCUCCCUCAUAGUACAAACAUGAACCAUAAGCUUUUGGGGGGGUUUCGGCUUUUGACCGUGUGUUUUUGUCUCCUUAUUUGACUCUACAUUUUCCCAAGGUGACCUGGAAACUACCAACUAGAAUAUAUCAAAAAUCCACUCCUGGUCCUGGAGACAGAGGAGCUCAUGGUAUGCUCAGACUCUGGAAUCAGUCAGUCCCGUGUUUUAACCCAGCAAAGCAGCGGUGUGAACUGGGGCAAGUGACAUCACCUCUCCGAGCCGCUUUAGAUCCGUCUAGAGUGCAAGAGGGAUACAAGCCAUAAUUAUAUCCCUUAUAAUACCCAGCACAUUGCCUGGCACACAUGGGGAUUCAUUAAGUGAUUGUUAAAAAAAUUAAUGAAUUAUCACAUAUAAUAUAUUCCAAAGGUUAAUUUUCUUUAGGAAAAGUAUUAAAAAUUCAUGCUCCAUAACUUCAUGAUCUUAACAUAGUCAAAUAUUUCUAAAAUAAGAAAUGAAAAGCAUUAACCGUAAAGGAAAAAAAUGAAUAAAUUGGAUCUCAUUUAAGUUAAGAACAUCUACUCACUAAAAGACACCAGUGGGGGACUUCCUUAGUGGCGCAGUGGUUAAGAACCUGCCUGCCAAUGCAGGAGACACGGGUUUGAUCCCUGGUCUGGGAAGAUCCCACAUGCCACGGAGCAACUAAGCCCAUGCGCCACAACUACUGAGCCUGUACUCUAGAGCCCGUGAGUCACAACUACUGAGCCCACAUGCCGCAACUACUGAAGCCUGCACACCUAGAGCCUGUGCUCUGCAACAAGAGAAGCCACCGCACUGAGAAGCCUGCGCACCUCAAUGAAGAGUAGCCCCCACUUGACGCAACUAGAGAAAGCCCGCAUGCAGCAACAAAGACCCAAAGGGGCCAAAAAUAAAUAAAAAAAUAAUAAAACUUUUAAAUAAAUAAAUAGACAAAUAGGUGAAUUCCAUCAGAUUCUUCUGCAUGACUAUUUGAGCUUCCCCUGUUACACAUGCCUGCCUGUUAUUUCUUUCCUUCAGAAAGGAAAACUUCCAACAAGGACCUACUGCAUAGCACAGGAACUAUAUUCAAUAUUUUGUAAUAACCUAUAAGGGAAAAGAAUCUGAAAAAGAACAUAUAUGUAUUUACUUACAUAUAUGUAUAAAUGAAUUGCUGUGCUGUACACCUGAAACUAACACGAUAUUGUAAACCAACUGUACUUCAAUUUUUAAAAAUUUUGUUAAAAAGAGCAACCUAGGGCUUCCCUGGUGGCGCAGUGGUUGAGAAUCUGCCUGGUAAUGCAGGGGACACGGGUUCAAGCCCUAGUCUGGGAGGAUCCCACAUGCCGCGGAGCAACUAGGCCCGUGAGCCACAACUACUGAGCCUGCGCGUCUGGAGCCUGUGUUCUGCAACAAGAGAGGCCGCGACAGUGAGAGGCCCGUGCACUGCGAUGAAGACUGGCCCCUGCUUGCCACAACUAGAGAAAGCCCUCGCACAGAAACGAAGACCCAACACAGCAAAAAUAAAUAAAUAAAAUGAUAAUUACAUCUGCAAACAUCCUUUAAAAAAAAAAAGAGCAACCUAAAUGUCCAUCAGCAGAGGAAUAGAUAAAGAAGAUGUGGUACAUAUAUACAGUGGAAUAUUACUCAGACGUAAAAAAGAACAAAAUAAUGCCAUUUGCAGGAACAUGGAUGGGCUUAGAGAUUGUCAUACUGAGUGAAGUAAGACAUAGACACUGAAAGACAAAUAUCAUAUGAUAUCGCUUAUAUGUGGAAUCUAAAAAAAUCAUAUAAAUGAACUUAUUUACAAAACAGAAGUAGAGUCACAGAUGUAGAAGACAGACUUAUGGUUACCAGGGGAUUGGGGGGGGGGAUAAACUGGAGAUUGGGAUUGACGUACACACUACAUAUAUAAAAUAGAUAACUAAUAAGAACCUACUGUAUAGCACAGGGAACUCAAUACUCUGUAAUGGCCUAUAUGAGAAAAGAAUCUAAAAAAUGAGUGGAUAUAUGUAUACAUAUAACUGAUUCACUUUGCUGUACAACUGAAACUAACAUAACUGUAAAUCAGCUAUACUCCAAUAAAAAUUUUUUAAAAAAUUUUAAAAGAAAGGAAAACACUUUUGUGACCUCAAGUCCUCUCACUUUAUUAUUAUUUUUUACCCCCACUCAUUUCUUCAUUUAUUUCACAAAUAUUUAUCAAAUCCCUGUGUUGCUGCAGACAGUUGCUGAGGAUAAAAUGGAGGGCACACUGACCUGGCCCUGUCUUCACGAAGCUUAGAUGAGUGAGGGAGACCAACUACAGUAGAUUGUGGUGCUUGAAAAUACAGUGUUAAAGAGGGAAAAUACAGCGUUAAAGAGGGAAAAGGCUUUGGGCACAAAGUUACUCACUACGGUGUUAUGUAUAACAGCGAAAAAUCAGUCACCAUCUAUGUAUCCAACAACAAAGAAAUACAUA